This is a long non-coding RNA of Gossypium arboreum, 460 nucleotides long. RefSeq lists it as uncharacterized. Lineage: Eukaryota; Viridiplantae; Streptophyta; Magnoliopsida; Malvales; Malvaceae. The transcript is spliced from 2 exons. The record is from RefSeq and is a predicted model, not a curated record.
CGGGGGAGACCUUGGUGUGAUCAUUGCAAAAAGCCCGGCCACUCUAAGGAGAAGUGUUGGAAGCUUCAUGGUAAGCCUCAGGACUGAAAGUCCAAGCACUCUCAAGAUAAUAAAUCAAGCCUUGUUGCCACCUCUGUUACUAGUUUCACUAAAGAACAGAUUGCUGAACUUCAAAAACUAUUUGGAAAGUUUCAAGGGUCUUGUGAGGGUAAUCUGGUCAUAAAAGAUCCAGAAGGCACUGAACUCGAAGAAGAUGAUUGGUAAGGCCAGCUUGCAUAAUGGUCUCUACAUCCUCCCUACCUCUCCUAAAAUCGAGAUCUCCAAGUCAUUUACCGCUUUAGGAAAAGUUGAUACUGUUAUGUUAUGGCACUUUCGUUUAGGCCAUCCUAGUUUCCAAUACCUUGCAAAAUUGUUUCCUGCUCUAUUCAUUAAUAAAAGGCCUAAUUCUUUUUCUUGCAAA